RNAcentral lists this ribosomal RNA (492 nucleotides) under uncultured bacterium. RNAcentral describes it as "partial 16S ribosomal RNA". It matches the Rfam family "Bacterial small subunit ribosomal RNA", at positions 29 to 507 of the family's 1533-position model. The record is from RNAcentral.
AGUGAACGCUGGCGGUAGGCUUAACACAUGCAAGUCGAACGGCAGCACAGUAAGAGUUUGCUCUUACGGGUGGCGAGUGGCGGACGGGUGAGGAAUACAUCGGAACCUACUUUUUCGUGGGGGAUAACGUAGGGAAGCUUACGCUAAUAUCGCAUAUGACCCACGGGUGAAAGCAGUGGAUCUUCUGACCUUGCGCGAUUGAAUGAGCCGAUGUUGGAUUAGCUAGUUGGCGGGGUAAAGGCCCACCAAGGCGACGAUCGGUAGCUGGUCUGAGAGGAUGAUCGGCCACACUGGAACUGGAACACGGUCCAGACUCCUACGGGAGGCAGCAGUGGGGAAUAUUGGACAGUGGGCGCAAGCCUGAUCCAGCCAUACCGCGUGGGUGAAGAAGGCCUUCGGGUUGUAAAGCCCUUUUGUUGGGAAAGAAAAGCAGCAGGUUAAUACCCCGCUGUUCUGACGGUACCCAAAGAAUAAGCACCGGCUAACUUCGUG